Cercocebus atys (sooty mangabey) is the source of this 110-nucleotide ribosomal RNA. Lineage: Eukaryota; Metazoa; Chordata; Mammalia; Primates; Cercopithecidae. The record is from Ensembl.
GUCUACUGACAUAUCACUUUGAAUGUGCUUGAUCUUGGGAGCUAAGCAGGGUCAGACCUGGUUAGGACUUGGUAUGGGAGACCACAUGGGAAUACCAGGUGCUGUAGGGU